This 28-nucleotide small RNA is filed under the name Bombyx mori (domestic silkworm). Its description in RNAcentral is "ovarian small RNA-26754". Lineage: Eukaryota; Metazoa; Arthropoda; Insecta; Lepidoptera; Bombycidae. The record is from RNAcentral.
UCCAGAGCCACGUUAGCCACGCCAGUAA